AUUGAACGCUGGCGGCAUGCCUUACACAUGCAAGUCGAACGGUAACGGGCCUUCGGGUGCCGACGAGUGGCGAACGGGUGAGUAAUACAUCGGAACGUGCCCGAUCGUGGGGGAUAACGAGGCGAAAGCUUUGCUAAUACCGUAUACGAUCUACGGAUGAAAGCAGGGGACCGCAAGGCCUUGCGCGGACGGAGCGGCCGAUGGCAGAUUAGGUAGUUGGUGGGAUAAAAGCUUACCAAGCCGACGAUCUGUAGCUGGUCUGAGAGGAUGAUCAGCCACACUGGGACUGAGACACGGCCCAGACUCCUACGGGAGGCAGCAGUGGGGAAUUUUGGACAAUGGGCGCAAGCCUGAUCCAGCCAUGCCGCGUGCAGGAUGAAGGCCUUCGGGUUGUAAACUGCUUUUGUACGGAACGAAAAGCCUUCUUUUAAUACAGGAGGGUCAUGACGGUACCGUAAGAAUAAGCACCGGCUAACUACGUG
Molecule: ribosomal RNA, 482 nt
Filed under: uncultured bacterium
Lineage: Bacteria
Description: partial 16S ribosomal RNA
Rfam family: Bacterial small subunit ribosomal RNA
Source: RNAcentral